UGCGCUCCACGCGGUGCCACUUGUCGUUCUUGUCCUCCUUCUCCUUUGUGCGCUCGCCGCUGACGACCAGCACGUUGCCGUCCUCCACCUCCACCUUGACCUCCUCCUUCUUCACGCCGGGGAGGUCGGCCUUGAAGACGUGCGCCUCGGGGGUCUCCUUCCAAUCCAUCCGGGCGUUGGCGAACGCGGCCGUCUCGCUGUUGCCGCCUGAGAUCGCCGGGACGAUGGAGCGGAAGGUGUCGAAGGGGUCCGCCCAGAGGUCCGCCAAGGGGUCGAACACGUUGCUCCGCCUCACGAUCGACAUUCUCGGUGUUGCUUCGGUUUGUAGCUCGGGGGGAAAUUCUGUAUCGGAUCGUACGUAGGAUUUUGCUUGACGCUGGCUUGAGUUUGGGAUGGCGGGCGAUGGGACUGAGGCCAGCUACUUAUAGCGUCGUCGGCUGCUGGUCUUGAAGCAUCUCGAGAACUCUCAAAUCGACGGGAGUUUGGUUCUCCUUCGGUUUCCAGCCAGGCUGUGAGCCAUUCUUUCUUCCUUCGGUUAUCAGCCCUUGAAGGGCCUACCGUCUUCUAGAGUCUCCUACUUGCCGUUAGUGGGCCUUCUCUCUAUUUCUUGUUAAUAAUUGUACCAGCACCUGGGCCACUAUUCUAGAAUGUGUUGCGGGGCCGUCUCUAGAAGAGGACAUGGAAACCAGAGAAACUAAGGGUAACCUCCGCCGACGGCACUUUUCUAGCGUGGAGCGUUUCAAAGUCGCUACGUGAACCGUGUUGGGCGUUUUCUCAUUGAAAUGGUUUUUCUUCGGGUUUCCUAUAAAACUUUUCUGUUUUUGGUUUGCGUUUUUUAUUAUUUACUUAUUUUUUAUUUUGAAUUCUUUUCACUGUUCUCAUUUUUUCUUGUUUCAUUUUUUUGGGGUUUUAUGUCUGGCAAGCGCGUGUGCUUCUUCAAAAUGAGCACGGUUGUGUUUCACCUUGCGGACGCACAAGCACUUGCAAGUUGAAACUACAGUUUAGUACAAUUUGGAAGCACAAGUUACUACUAGUUAGAAGCACAAAUUUGCCCAAAAAGUUCUUGUCGAAACAUAUCAACAUGAGAUCUAAUUUCGAAGAUCUUGACGUGAGAAAUACAAUGUUGAAAAUGGUUCAUGUUUUGGACGUAGAUUCAGCAGAUAAAACUCUUUGAAAAAAUAUCUAUAAAAGAAGAACACAAACCCACCGGCGCCUCCAUACUGUCACAAAAAAUUCUGACCAAAACUGUCUGGUUGCGACAAGUCUCGCACGUGCAGUCACCACUUAUCGCCACCAGGGGAGGCGAUAGUGCAAGGGUUACCCGUUAACUACUGAUUUUGGAGAACUAGAGGUGCCGUGUAAGGAGGAGUCGGAGGGCCAAUCCUAGCGGGCAAACGCGAUGUUAUAUGGGCCAGCCAUUUUUCCAUAGUUCUUCUCUUUACCUUUUUCUUUCUUUUGUUUUUUCAUUCAGUUUCAGUUUCAUAUAUUUUUCAUUUUUUUAUUUUAAAAUCAAUAAUAUUUUCUAGAAUUCACGAAUAUUUUAUGAACUCUGCAUCAUUGUUUCAGAAAUAUAUUUUAAGUAUUUUACCAUUUUUUAAGUCAUAAAUGUUAUUCAAAUUCAUGAAUAGUAUUUUAGUUCACUUUUCUUAGUCACGGUUCACAUUUCUUUUGAUAUCCUUGAAAAACUUGAAAUAUUCAUGAACACUUUUAUAAGUACAUGAACAUUUUUAAAUUUGUAUUUUUAAAAAUCCGAACACAUUUUCUGCAAUUGAAAACAUUUUUUUGAAAUUUAGGAAAAUUUAAUGAGUUGUCAAAUCUUUUGAAAAUUCACAAAUAAUUUCUCAAAUUCACAAAACAAAAAUCGAAAUCAUAUUUUUUACAAAUUCACGAACAAUUAUUCUGAAUCAUGAAUAUAUUUUGAAAUUCAUGAUUAUAUAUUUUUCCAUAAUUUUGUUUAAAAAGGAAUCCUAAGAGAAUUAAUACACAAGUGCACACACUUCCGCACUAGGCCGACCCAAAGCGCUUGGAGGUACACGUUUGACUAGGCGGUCCCGAGUGAGUCCUCAUCUUCACCGCCUUAAGCCCAAGCCGAACGUGUCCCAACUUCGCGCUAGCUGCUCGCUCGCUUUGCCCAGUAGAUCUUUUUUCGUUUUUUCUACAGUUGGUCUGGUAGAUAAAAACCGAUUGGUCAUAAUACUGUUGAAAAAACUCAUCAUCGAUAUAAGUUCACAGAUUUACUAAAGAAAAGUGCACAAAAAAGAAAAAAUUCCAAAUUUUGAAAAGGUUGAUGAAUUUGAAAAGGUUCACGAAUUUGAAAAAAGUUCAUUGAUAUUUCAAAAGAAGUUCACGAGUUUAAAAGAAGUUUUCAAAAUGAAAGAAAAUCAAAUUGAGAAAAGUUCCAUGCAUUUGAAAAAUGGAAAAAGAAAAAGGAAAUAAAUACAAAAAGAAUGAAAAAAUGAUCCGGAAAAAACUAAAACAUCAAAAAACGCCCGGGAAGCUUCUGGAGCCUGGACUAUUCUAACGUCUGCUUCUUAAAUGGUCCAGGCUCAUAAUUACGCGCGCAUGUAAGAAUGUGUGUCAACCACACACGUAGGCAGGUAAGCUAUUUUUUCACUUUUUUGUAUUUUGAAGUAUUUUAAAUACAUAUAUUAAAAAAUUUACUUGAAUUACAAAAAGUGUUGAUAGCGCAUUUAAAAAAAUCAUGCAUUGUAAAAAAAGUCCGUGAUAGCUUUCGAAUAAAUGUUCGUGAUUUCUAAACAUAUUUCAUCGUUUCAAAAUUUAUAUUUGUGAUAUUUUAGAAAAUGUGCAUACAAUAUAAGAUAAUGGUCCCUAUUGAAAAAAACGUUCAUGACAUUUAAAAAAUGUUCUAAUGCUUAAGAAAUAUUUUUCAUGUUUUAGAAAAAAAUUAGGACAUUUAUGAUUUUAUAAUGUUUGUUAAACAAUAUUCACUGUGUAUUCAAAAAGUGUUCACAUGUGUUCAGAAAAUGUUGAACAUGUAUCUUUAAAAACUAAAAAGUUUAAUGUCUAUUCAAAAAAUUCUUAAUGAUGUACUCGAUUUUGUUUUUUCAAUGUGCAUCUGGAAAUGUUAAGCCUGCAUAUGAAAAAUGUUCAACAUGUAUUUAAAUAAAAGUUAAUGUGUAUUUGAAAAAUAAGAAAGAAAACUAGGAACCCUACAAAAGAAAAGGGGGAAUGAAUUGAAAAAAGUCCAAAAGAAAAUUGAAAGAAAAAUCGAAGUAAACCUAUAGAGAAACACACAUACAAGGACGUCUUUAGUCCUAAGUAAAUUGGGUAGGCUAGAGCUGAAAACCAUAACACCCUAUAAUAUCUCGAAAUCAACUCAUGGUUCUGAUAUGUGGAUAGCUAAUUUUCACAUGGGUAGUCGUUUAGUGAUAUUCUAGUCUUUUAAAUCUCUAUUUGCGGACUACUUUCAUGUCAGGUUUUUUCUAGCCCGACCUCUUUUGAUAUUUCCAGCACGCUUUAGCUGUCUACUGUGCACUGGAUCUUUUGAAGGCGUAUGUUAAAUUUGCGCAAAUCAUCUAAGACGAUAUUGGACAAGUUUCUCUUCUGUCGGUGCUAUCCCAACUCUAUUGCAUGUGUCAUCAUUCUGGAUCCGAUUCUUUCUUAUGUGUUCACAUGUGUAUCUCCGCUACACCUAACUGUUGAACAUGUAGCCUUUUAGUCGUCCAACACUCAGCGUCAUACAACAUUGCUUGUUGAAUCGUCGCCCUAUAGAACCUAACUUUUACCUGUGACACUCUCUUGUCACAGAGAACGUCAGAAGCUUGCGCCAGUUCAUUCAUCUGACUUUGAUUUGAUGGCACACAUUUUUAUCAAUAUCACCAUCCUUUUGCAGGAUUGACCCCAAAUAUUAAAAGAUGUCCUUCUGAGGUACCACCUGCCUAUCAAGGUUUACAUCCUCCUCCUCGUUCUAGUAGUACUGAAAUCGCACCUCAUGUACUCGGUUUAUUUCUACUGAGGCUCAACCUUUCGAUUCCAAGGUUUGCCUCCAUAGGUCUAACUUUCUAUUUAACCCUCGUCCGACUAUCAUGGACUAGCAUCACAUCAUCCGCAAAAUAGCAUACACCAUGAGAUAUCUUCUUGUAUAUCCCUUGUAACCUCAUACGUUACCAAAGCAAAAAAGAUAAAGGCUCAAAACUGGCCUUUGGUGCAGUCCUAUAUCAAUUGGGAAGUCAUCAGUGUUAUCAUCACUUGUUCGAACACUUUUCAUAGCAUUUAUUGUACAUGUCCUUGAUGAAGGUAAUGUAUUUUGUUGGAACUUUAUGUUUCUCCGAGGCCCACAACAUGACUACACAAAAAUAAGAAAAACCAGAGAAAAUAGAUAGACACAGAAAAAAUUCGGACAAUAAAGCUUAGUCUCGCAAUAAAGACAUGGCUCCUAUGAUCGCAAGGUGUCACUGUUUCGCAUAGGGGCGUUCCUCAUUGGGCCAACCCAUUUGCGUGAAACUAUAGUGAAUCGGUUCCAGUAUGGUUUUUCUGUCGGUUUAAAAAAUUGAAAAACAAUUAUUGUAAAUGUGGACAUUUGUUGAAUACCUAAAAAUGUUUUGUGUACACUUUUUUGGUAAAAAAUGAUUUAAGAAAAUGUGAACAAUUUUCAAGUAUUCUUUUUAAACAUGGACAUUUUAAACUUGUGAAAUUUUUCCAAAUUUUGUUUUACUACGCGAAGGUUGUUUAAAAUUGUGCAAAAAAAUGUAUUUAAAGAACGUGACCGAUAUUUAUAAAAGUAAAUAAUAUAUUUUCAAAAAUAUAAUUUUUUUUAAAUUUUCUAAAAACCAUGAACAUUUUUCGAAAAUAAAUAAAAGGAAAACAACACUAGGUGGAGCAACUUGUUCAACCCCUUCGCCGAGCCCUUCAAUGUCUUCAAAUAUGCACAAACUACACCUUUUCUACACGGGAGGGGGCGAGGGUUUUAUAUCAAUUAACCUGUAUUAAGAUGAUCCAGGUUAAGAACACGCACCACAUUGGAGGUAUCUAGCAACCCAUCCUCACAAUCUGCUCCACUACGAUGAUUUCGUGGUUCCUGGCAAAGGAAAAAGAGCAACAGUUCUUUAGAAAGGAUUUAGAAAGUAAACCAAAAUAAACCAAUAAUAUCUGUCCGCACCAUCAAAAUAAAGUAGAACUAUAGUGACAUGGGUCGCAUGCCGAAGCAACUUGCACCCUCAUUUUGCGCAUGCCAUCUUCGACCAAAUCGAUCUAGAAGAAAAGCUUUUUUCGGGGAUCCUAGAAGAAAAGUUGGUCUCACAAACACUUGAAUCAUGUAAUUAUGCCCUUCAAUUUUAAAUACCGUGUGGUUUUGGUGGUCUUGGAGUGGUUUUAACAAAAGUUUUGUCGAUGUUCAACUCGAUCGCAUGGCUCCAACACUGCUAUUUUUUCUUCAGAAAUCUCCACUUGUUCUUUUUAAAGCAUAUAAAAUACUAGAGAGAAUAUCUAAUAAAUCAAGAAGACGUAAAAAUUAAAUAAAAAUUAUCUGAUUGUUGGCUUUUUCAUGCUUGGAUGAUAUGAUAUUGGCAUCCUGAAAAAAAAAUGUUAUUGGCAAAACUAGACAAUAUCAGAGAGCUCUGAAAAAUAAACAUAGUUAAGAGUUCUUUUGGCAAAUUUAAAGUCAACUAUUGGUCCAUCGGUUCCAUGCCUGAUUUGUUUUUUUUUUGCGAGAAAAUUUUCAAUCUAUUCAUCAAGGCCUGAUUUGUUUCUUUAACAAAGAAGGAAAAAUUGUUUCUUUAACAAAGAAGGAAAAACACAAUAAUCGUUGGUAGGUCUACUUAGGUCUCUCCUUCCGCCUGCAGCAGGAAAGUCCCAAUCGAAAUAGAAUUUCUGUUGAAACUAGAAACCGGCCACACAGCGCCAAACAUGUUGGAUCCGCAUUCAUGGUGUUGAUCAUUGUAGAGCCACGAUUAUUCCUGUGCACAGUUUUCUUACUCAAUUCUUAAGCAUAAGUUUCUAUAGAAAACAAAGCCUGUCCGUGACCAAGUUUUCGGACAGCCAAUGAAUUUUCCCUUCAGAACAAAUGAUACUUUUCAGCUGCUUGAGAAAAGGAAAAGAGCAGGAAAGCCAUUUUUCUCUUGAUCUUGUCCAUCCGAACAAGAAGCGAAAAGGUCAAAUUUUGUGUGUGCAAAAUGCGCACUGCACUCAAAAGCCGACCGGUUUAUUCAUCACCAAAUCUGUAGGUGAUUACACAAGUAUAUAAACGACUGGGGAAAGAAACGCAAUACAUUGUUCAUAGUUGCCUCGCCAGACUCGAUCAGCAAGAACUGUAGCAUACUUUCAGGUUGCAGACCUCGCACACACAUCAACCAAACUGGCUCCAAUGCUCAGCCGGAGAUCUCGAUGGCUUUCACCUCGGGCUUCUUGACCUCGGCCUUGGGCACGGUGACGGUGAGCACGCCGUUCUCCAGCCCGGCCUUCACCUCCUCCACCUUGGCGUCCUCCGGCAGGCGGAACCGCCUCACGAACUUGCCGCUGCUGCGCUCCACACGGUGCCACUUGUCGUUCUUGUCCUCCUUCUCCUUGGUGCGCUCGCCGCUGACGACGAGCACGUUGCCGUCCUCCACCUCCACCUUGACCUCCUCCUUCUUCACGCCGGGGAGGUCGGCCUUGAAGACGUGCGCCUCGGGGGUCUCCUUCCAGUCCACGCGAGCAUUGGCGAACGCGGCCGUCUCGCUGCUGCCGCCAGAGAUCGCCGGGACGAUGGAGCGGAAGGUGUCGAAGGGGUCCGCCCAGAGGUCGGCGAAGGGGUCGAACACGUUGCUCCACCGCACGAUCGACAUCGUCGGUGUUGAUUGCUUCGGCUUGUGCGCUCGGAAAAUUCUGUAGAUCGUAGGUAGGACUAGGAUGUUGUGUGCUUUUGCUUGACACUGAUUUGAGUUGGAUGGAGGGCGAUAGGGCUGAGGCCAGGUACUUAUAGCGUCGUCGGCUGCUGGUCUUGAAGCAUCUCGAGAACUCUCCAAUGGGCAAGAGUUUGCUUUCUUCCUUCGGUUAUCAGCCCUUGAAGGGCCUACCGUCUUCUAGAGUCUCCUACUUGCCGUUAGUGGGCCUUCUCUCUAUUUCUUGUUAAUAAUUGUACCAGCACCUGGGCCACUAUUCUAGAAGACGACAUGGAAACCAGACAACUUCGGUGAGCAACUAACGACAACCUCCGCCGAGGGCACUUUUCUAGCGUGGAGCGUUCCAAAGUCGCUACGCGACUCGUGUUGGGCUUUUUUUUUUCAUUGAAACGGUUUCUUUCGGGUUUGUUUUUACUCCCUCCGUUCGUAAUUCUUGUCGCAAGGGCGUUUUUUGCAUUUUAGUCCUUCGAAUUUUCCCGACCAAACCCGCAGUCCACCCGUCUCCUUCCUCGCUUUCUCCAUCGCUCCCCCACGCCGGCGACGGCGCUGCCUCCCCAUCCGUCCCACGCCCAAUGCCACCAUGCUCCCUUACCCACCUCUCCGCCGCACCACGUCGCCGCCUCGUCCCCCCACGCCAGCGCCUCGUUCCCCUGCCAAAACAGAGCAAGCGGCAAGGUUCGAUUUUUGCCACUACCUGGUUCCCUUGCGCGUCGUGGAUCACCUCCUCGCCGACCAGCCUCCGUCGACCUCAUCCCUUCCCCCGCAGCCCCACCCCGUCCCUUCCGCGUCAUCUUGGGCCGGCGGCCCCGCCACGCCGCAGCUCCAGAGAUUCAGACUAAAGCUUUGUUUUGUUUUGAAACUCAAUUCAAGUUCCAUUGCUAUGCACUGAUUUCAGCUCAUGUGGUGUGCCUGGCGUUCCAUCAUGCCAUUGCAUUUCAAUACAUAAGCACAUAGCAGGUCUGAAACCCCUAGGAAAUCAUUUGCAUAUUGUCAACCUACUGUGAAAUGAGUAAUAGCUGCAUCUUCCAGGAUAGUAGUGUGGGCUUCCUCAUUGGUUGCAAACCAAAGCACUUUGACAUGUCAAUCAUGAGUAAAUCAGAAACUAGUCUCAGCUUGAGUAUUGAUCUUGUGCAUUUUCUUUUUCUUUCAGUGAACUAGUCUCAGCUUGAGUCCUGAUCUACUGUAGUUUUUUUAUUUUAAAUUGUUUAAUUGACAAAUCAUUUUAAAUGGUGUGAACAGGUUUCAGUGAACUAGUCUCAGCUUGAAACAGUUAACUAAAUUUUGACAGUGGAGUGGAUCUUGUUUGAACUACUCUGAAUUCUGUUUUUGAAACAUGCAAUCAAGAGCAAUGAUAUUAAGAAAAUUAUGAUUGUAAAACAUUCAAUCUUGACUGCAAGUCAUUGUAGGUACUGGAUAGGUUCAUGAUGACAAGAUGAGAAUUCCUCCCCCUUUCCCUAGAUAAGCCUUCAUUUAGUUGCAGUUCAGUUAACGAGGUUACUGAAUCAUGGAGUACAUUGUGGCUCUGCAGGUCUGGCCCAUCGAUGAUGACGGCUCCUCCUCGUGCUCAGUGGUUCAGAAACGUUCAGUGGGAUUGCAGGUUCAGAAAUGUUCAGUGCUUGUUCAUUUUGUAAGUUCCAUGCUUUCUCUUUUUUGAUCAUGAAUUGUGGGGGCAUCAUUCAUCAAAGCCAUGACAUAAAAAAAGUUGGGUCAUCUUGACAUCCUGUGUUGUGUGUGUGUGCAUGGUGUAGUGUGAGUCUUUCCUCCUUAUCCGGUUGCCCUCCUUUCCUGUCUCUCUGAUUGAAUUCUGAGGCCCUCAUCCUCCCAAGUGCCAAAAGUAUGACUACGCCAUAGCUUCUGUUGUUAUUGUACAUAAACGAGAAAAUUAUGAGUAAACCAUAGCUCCAUCAAUUCUAGAGUAAUCUUGUUGACCAGAUUUACCAAGUUUAGACUUGCUGUUAGUGGAUCAGAACAUGCUGUGAGGAAGUCUAAAUUUACUCAAGGCCUUGUUGUUAAUGCAUCUUUAACUGAUUUUACUCAAGGCCUCGGUUUAACUGAAUUUCCCUUACUGUUAAUUGAUCUCCAGAUUGUGGAGCACUAAGGAACAUCAUGGAGUAAUCCUGAUAAUUGUCCCUAUGUACUGUCAGUCUAAUUGUCUAAUUGUUCACAUCAUGGAGUAAUCUUGUUAAUUGUCCUGAUUGUGGAGCAGUAAGGAACAUCAUGAAAUUUUUAUGACCUGGACUUAUCAUGUGUGAAUAAAAUUAGGAACAGUACUGUACAAGUUCUUCAGACCUUGUUGAUCAACAAAAUUAUUGCCAAAAAAGUUGGUACACAUAUUGGUCUAGAGCUCUGUGUUGUUCUAUUUUUCUAUUGUUGAUCAUUUCCAUGUCCUAAAUUGCAAAGUACAGCUACAAGUCCAAACCUGAACAUUUCAGCUGGAGGACCAUAGAUGAUGAUCAGGUGAGAGUCCAUAAUUCCCUCAAAAAAAUGUGAGAGUCCAUAAUCCAUGCCGUAAUAAUUCCAGUUGCCAAAGUCUUGAUUGAUUGAAUGUUAAAUUAACAUGGUUUAAUGUUUCCAGAAUUAACAUGAUUAAAUGUUUCCAAAAUUAACAAAAUCCCAUUUCCUGAUUGAAUGUUUCCAUAAUUAACAUGAUUGAAUGUUUCCAAGUUAACAAAAUCUUGUCAUUUACUGAUUGAAUGUUUCCAAAGGUAACAUUACCAAUUUUGCAGGAGUACCAGCUGUAGGUGGUCGAAGCAGCAGCAAAAAUAGGCGCCGGUGGUGGCGGGGGCAGCAGCAGUAGUAGGCGUCGUCGGCAAGGAAGGAGCCGGCGGGGAAGGAGAGACUAGGUCGGCGAUUGUAGUCUCCCAGCAGGAGAGACGGGGCGCGGGGAAGGAUCGCGGCGGAAUCACGGAGGUUGGCGGCGGUGCAGCUGGGCGGCGCCGCAGUGGCUGGUCGCGCAGGUGGGCGGAAACUCAGCGAAGUGGCGGAAUUGCGCAGCUGGGCGCCGGCAGGUCCUUGCGGAUCGAGGAUCAGCUCGCCUGGUGGUCGCGGCGCGGUGGACGGCGGAAUCGGCGGGCAACUGGUGGCGGGUAGGUGGAGGUGGGUGGGCUGCGAGCGCCGAAAUCUCCAGCACGGCGACGGAAUCCCACGGCGCUGGCCCUUGGCGACGCGCAGGCGCCGGACGGAGGAAGCAGAAGGAUUCAAGGACCUAUUUGCUACUGCUUUCAAAUUACAAGGUGUUUUUUUGCAAAGCAACCACUGUACUGCGCGCGCGACAUGAAUUUCGGGAUGGGGGGGAGUACUUUUUAUUUUUCCAGUUUUUUGUUUUUCAUGUUAUUAAUUUUUAUUAUUUAUUUGGAUUUCUUUUCUCCAUUCUCAUUUUUUCCUGUUUCAUUAUUUUUGGGUUUUACGUCUGGCAAGAGCGUGUGCUUCUUCAAAAUGAGCACGGUUAUGUUUCACCUUGCGGAAGCACAAGCUAGUUCACUUGCAAGUUGCAACUAUAGUUCAGUACGAUUUGGAAGCACAAGUUACUACUAGUUAGAAGCACAAAUUUGCCCAAAAAGUUCUUAUCAAAACAUAUUAACAUGGGAUCUAAUUUUGAAGAUCUUGACGUAAGAAACACAAUCUUGAAAAUGGUUCAUGAUUUGGACGUAGAUUCAGUAGAUAAAACUCUUUGAAAAAAAUCUAUAUAUGAAAAAAGAACACAAACCCACCGGUGGCUCCCGUACUGUCAAUUUUUUUUUACCAAAAAUGUCUGGUUGCGACAAGUCUCACACAUGCAGUCGCCACUUAUCGCUACCAGGGGAGGCGAGAGUGCAAGGGGUACACGUUAAGGAGGAGCCAGAGGGCCAAUCCUAGCGGGUAAACGCGACGUUAUAUGGGCCAGCCAUUUUUCCAUAGUUUUUCUCUUUACCUAUUUUUCUUUCUUCUAUUUUUUAUUCAGUUUCAUUUUCAUAUUUUUUUCAUUUUUUAUUUUAAAAUUAAUAGCAUUUUCUACAAUUCACGAAUAUUUUAUGAACUCAGCAACAUUUUUUUGCAAAUAUAUUUUCAGUAUUUUACAAUUUUUAAAUCAUAAAUAUUAUUCAAAUUCAUGAAUAGUAUUUUAUUUCAUAUCUUUUUAGUCACAGUUCGCAUUUCUUUUGAUAUCCUUGAACAACAUGAAAUAUUCAUGAACAUUUUUAUAAGUUCAUGAACAAUUUUAAUUUUGGUUUUUUAGAAAUUCGCAAACAUUUUGUGAAAUAAAAAAAUUCUAAAAGUUUCUGAAAAUUUAAUGGGUUAUCAAACCUUUUGAAAAUUCACAAAUAAGUUCUCAAAUUCACAAACAAUUUUCAAAAUCAUAUUAUUUACAAAUUGGCGAACAAUUUUUCUGAAUCAUGAAUAUAUUUUGAAAUUCAUGAUUAUAUAUUUUUCCUGAAUUUGGUUUUAAAAAGGAAUCCUAACCGAAUGAAUACACAAGUGCACACACUUCCGCACUAGGCCUACCCAAAGUGCUAGGAAGUACGUGUAUGCUAGCCUCCCGAGUGAGUCCUCAUCUUCACCGCCUUAAGCCCAAGCGGGACGUGGCCCAACUUCGCGCUAGCCGCUUUCUCGCUUUGCCAAUAGUUUUUUUUUUCGUUUUGUCUACAGUUGGUCUGGUAGGGAAAAACCGGUUAGUUAUAAUACUGUUAAAAGAAUCAUCAUCGAUAAAAGUUCAGCAAUUUACGAAAGAAAAGUUCACACAAAAAAACAAAUUUUUGAGAAGGUUAAUGAAUUUGAAAAGGUUCAUGAAUUUGAGAAAAAGUUCAUUGAUAUUUGAAAAAGAAGUUCACGAAUUUAAAAGAAGUUUUCCAAAUGGAAAAAAAAUCAAACUGAGACAAGUUCCAUGCAUUUGAAACAUAGAAAAGGAAAAAAGAAAAUAAGUAGAAAAAUGAUCCAGAAAAAACUAAAACAUCAAAAAUUGCCAGGAAGCUUCUGGAGCCUGGACCAUUUCCGAACGCCUUUGCGCAAGUUAACAAAAUGCACGUAAACUGCGCGCAGAAAGCGCCGAAUAGGAUUUUGGGUCCCAAGCCAGAUCUCCUAUUUUGCCGCAAACUGCGGCAAGGGGUGUGUGGCUACCUCUCAUCCGCGGGUAGAUGGUAGGUCCGCUGGCAGCUACGCUUCUUAAAUGGUCCGGGCUCAUAAGUAUGUGCGCACGGAAGAAUGUGUCUCAACCACGCAAGUAGGCAGGUAAGUUAUUUUUUUCACUUUUUUGUAUUUUAAAAUAUUUUAAAUACAUAUAUUUCAAAUAAAUAGUUGAAUUAUGAAAAGUGUUGAUCGGGCAUUUAAAAAAAUCAUGCAUUGUAAAAAAACUGUCCGUGAUAUAGCAUUCAAAUACAAUGUUCGUGAUAUAUAAACAUAUUUCAUCGUUUCAUAAAUAUGUUUGUGAUAUUUGUAGAAAAUGUGCAUACAAUAUAAGACAAUGGUCCCAUUCAAAAGAUGGUUCAUGACAUUUCAAAAAUGUUCCAACGCUUAAGAAAUAUUUUGCAUGUUUUAAAAAAAAUCAGGACAUUUAUGAUUGUAUUAUGUUUGUUAAACGAUAUUCACUGUGUAUUCAAAACGUGUUCACAUGUGUUCAGAAAAUGUUGAACAUGUAUCUUUAAAAGCUAAAAAGUUCAAUGUGUAUUCAAAAAAUUCUGAAUGAUGCACUCAAUUUUGCGUUUUCAAUGUGCAUCUGGAAAUGUUAAACCUGCAUAUGAAAAAUGUUCAACAUGUAUUUAAAUAAAAGUUAAUGUGUAUUUGAAAAAUAUGAAAUAACCUAAGAACCCAAUAAAAGAAAAGGGGGAAUGAAUAGAAACAAUCCAAAAGAAAACUGAAUUAAAAAUCAAUUUAAACCCAUAGAGAAACACACAUACAAGAACGUCUUUAGCCCUAAAUAAGUUGGGUAGGCUGGAGCUGAAAACCAUAAGACCUCAUAAUAUCUCGAAGCCAACUCAUGGUUCUGGUAUGUGGAUAGCUAAUUUCCACAAUGGUAGUUCUUUAGUGAAAUUCUAGUCUUUUACAUCUUAUUUACGAACUACUUCCAUGUCAACUUUAGUCUAGCCCGACCUCUUUUGAUAUUUCUAGCACGCAUUAGCCGUCCACUAUGCACUGAAGUUUCUGAAGGCCUAUGCUAAAUUUACGCAAACCAUCUCAGACGAUGUUGGACAAGUUUCUCUUCAGUCAAUGCUACCCCAACUCUAUUGCGUAUGUCAUCAUUCCGGAUCCGAUCCUUUCUUGUGUGUUCACACAUGCAUCUCCGCUACACCUAAUUGUUGAACAUAUAGCCUCUUAGUCGUCCAACACUCAGCGCCAUACAAUAUUGCGAGUCGAAUCAUCGUCCUGUAGAACUUAACUUUUACCUGUGACACUCUCUUGUCACAGAGAACGCCAGAAGCUUGCGCCACUUCAUCCAUCUAAUUUUGAUUUGAUGGCACACGCUUUCAUCAAUAUCACCAUCAUUCUGCAGCAUUGACCCCAAAUAUUAAAAGGUGUCCUUCUAAGGUACCGCCUGCACAUCAAGGCUUACUUCCUCCUCUCCGUGCCUAGUAGUACUGAAACCGCACCUCAUGUACUCAGUUUUAGUUCUACUGAGGCUAAACCUUUCGAUUCUAGGGUUUGCCUCCAUAGCUCUAACUUUCUAUUUAACCCUCAUCCGACCAUGAUGGACUAGCACCACAUCAUCCGCAAAAUAGCAUACACCAUUAGAUAUCUCCUUUUAUAUCCCUUGUAACGUCAGAUGUCACCAAAGCAAAAAAGAUAAAGGCUCAAAGCUGACCCUUGGUGCGGUCCUAUUUUAAUUGGGAAGUCAUCAGUGUUGCCAUCACUUGUUCGAGCACUUUUCAUAACAAUAUUGUACAUGUCCUUGAUAAGGGUAGUGUACUUUGUUGAAACUUUGUGAAAGUGCUAGUUAUCGACUAGAGGGGGAGGGGGUGAAUAGGCGAGUUUUAUGAAAGUCUUCAAAACACGAGGUCUUUGAAGACAAACUGUUGGAAUGAACAUAUAUGAUAUGCAGCGGAAGAUGAACUACACUAGACAAGCCAUAGUCAAGUAAGCAAUAUAGUGAAAACACGAAGACUAACAGCAGCUAGGUAGUAUGGAUUAGAAUGGAAGACAGUAUGAAGCCAAACAGGUAAUAGUCUUUGCACAGUGAAGUCAAACAGAUCAGGCAGGCAGGCAAUAACUUCACGAAGACAAACUGAAAUGUAAAGAAAGUAGAGGAUAGAACCAGUAUCUUGGUGAAGACAAGGAUUUGGUAGAUCAGUUCCAGUUGCUGUGACAACUGUACGUCUAGUUAGGGAGGCUGAGAUUGAACUCAGAAGACCGUGUCUUCACCUUAUUCCCCUUGAGCUAAGGACACCCAAUCCUCGCCCAAUCACUCUGGUAAGUCUUCAAGGUAGGAUUCCAAACCUUCACAGACUCCAUUCACUGGCGAUCCACAAUGACUCUUGGAUCCUCAGAACGUGAUGCCUAACCGGUUGGGGGAUGCACAGUCCUCAAGUAUAACAAGUCUUCAGGGCACGCAGACAGAAAGACUUGAGUGAUGCCUAACACUCUUUUGACUGGAUGUUUUGGGCUUUGUCCUCGCAAGGAUCUCUCUCUCUCAAAGGCUUCGGAGGUGGGUUGCUCUCAAAUGACAAAAGCCGUGCACUAACUCUGAGCAACCACCAAUUUUGAUGUAGGGGUGGGCUACUUAUAGCUAGGAGGCAACCCGACAUGAUAUGACCGAAAUGACCCUGGGUCACUAAGGAACAGACACGUGUCCAACGGUCUUCAAACACAUGGGUAGCUUGGCUUGGACUACAAGCAAGGCUGACUCAUCCAACUCUGAAUAAGAUUUGCUCUUAUUGUCUUCGCUCGAGGACAUAGGAUUUUGGUUGAGCAUCACUUCAGUCAUGUGGCUUUGUUCACUUGGACCCCACUUAACAGUACGGUGAUUCCUAUGACUCAAUAAAGAAGAAAAUGAAACUACGAAGGAAACUAUGUCUUCGCACUCCAUAGUCUUCAAGUGAAUGUCUUCACAUGUCAUUAUCUUCAACGUGUCACGAACCACCCUUGUCUUCAAUGUCUUCAUACAUUUUAGGGGUGAUCUCUGGUAGGUAAACCGAAUCAAUGAGGGACUACUACCUGUGUUAUCCUGCAAUUCUAACAAACACAUUAGUCCCUCAACCAUGUUUGUCGUCAAUACUACAAAACCAAUUAGCGGUGGCACUAGAUGCACUUACACUUUGCGUUUCUCUGAGGCCCACAACAUGACACAUAAUACACAAAAUAAGAAAAACCGAAGAAAAUAGAUAAAUAAAAACACAGAAAAAAACAAGUCGGACAAGAUGGUUCUAUAGCAUGAUCUACUAGGCUGACCUGCUAAGGCGAGCACAUCGCCAUGUGUGUUUAGUUGAGAUGAAGGUUGGUCUCGCAAUAAAGCAAGGUUGUCAGAAUCGUGAUUCUGAAUCGGAUCAGAGCUCUGAUGGUAGGAUCGCAAAUCGUAGAAUCUUCACUAUCAGGAUCGUAGAAACGUAGAUUCUAAAGACUAAAAUCGUAGAAUCAAAGGGUUACUUUGGAUCGUAAAGUCGUAGAAUCGUAAAACAGAAUUGUGAUUCUGACAACCUUGCAAUAAAGACAUAGCUCCUAUGGUCGCAAGGUGUCACUGGUUCGCAUACGGGCGUUCCUCAUUGGGCCAACCCAUUUGUGUGGAACUAUUGUGAAUCGGUUAUAGUCUUAUUUUUCUGUCGGUUUCAAAAAAUAUGAAAAGCAAUCAUUUUAAAAAGUGAACAUUUGUUGGAAAAAUUAAAAAUGUUUUGUGGACACUUUUUUGGAAAAAGUGAUUUAAGAAAAUGUGAACAAUUUUUGAAUAUUCGUUUUAAACAUGGACAUUUAAAAUUGUGCAAAAUUUUCAAAUUGUUUAUACUACACGAAGGUUGUUUGAAAUUGUGAAAAAAAUAAAGGAUUAAGAUGAUAAAAACGAUUUUUUUCAAAACCAUGAACAUAUUUUGAAAAUAAAUAAAAGGAAAACGAUAAAAAUGGUAGAGAAAAAGGAAAAGGCCGGUCGAGAACCGGGUGAUCUAGACAUGUGCUAGGCCGGCCUAAUAGUAAUCGCCGUGUGAGUGCGUUGUUCAUUUCUACAACACUUUGAGCCUCAAAUAGUAAACACUAGGUGGAGCAACUUGUUCAACCCUUUCGCCGAGCCCUUCAAUGUCUUCAAAUAUGCACAAACUACACCUUUUUUGCGUGGGAGGGGGCGAGAGUUUAUAUUAAUUAACCUGGAUUAAGAUGAUCCAGGUUAAGAACACACACCACAUGGGAGGUAUCAAGUAACCCAUCCUCACAAUCUGCUCCACUACGAUGAUUCGUGGUUCAUAGCAAAGCAACAAGAGCAAUAGUUCUUUAAAAAGGAUUUAGAAAGUAAACCAAAAUAAAUCAAUAAUAUCUGUCUGCACUGUCAAAAUAAAGUAGAACUAUAGCGACAUGGGUCGCACGUGGAAGCAACUUGCACCCUCACUCUGCGCAUGCCAUCUUCGACCGAAUCAUUCUAGAAGAAAAGGUUUUUUUCGGGGAUCCUAAAAGAAAAGUUGGUCUCACAGAUACUUGAAUCAUGUAAUUAUGCCCUUCAAUUCUAAAUACUGUGUGGCUUUGGUGGUCUUGGAGUGGUUUUGACAAAAGUUUUAUCGAUGUUUAGUCCUAUCUCAUGGCUCCAACAUUGCUAUUUUUUCUUCAUAAAUCUCACCGGUUCUUUUUAAAGCAUAUAUAAAAUACUAGAGAGAAUAUCUAAUAAAUCAAGAAAACAUAAAAAUUAUCUGAUUGUUGGCUUUUUCAUGCUUGGAUAAUAUGCUAUUGGCAUCCUAAAAAAAGUUAUUGGCAAAACUAGGCAAUAUCAGAGAGCUCUGAAAAGAAAACAUAGUUAAGAGUUCUUUUGGCAAAUUUAAAGUCAACUAUUGGUCCAUCUGUCUCAUGCCUGAUUUAUUUCUUUAACAAAGAAAAACACAGAGUCGUUGGGAGGUGUACUUAGGUCUCUCGUUCCGCCUGCAGCAGCAAAGUCCAAAUCGUAGAAUCUGUGUUGAAACUGACCACACCGUGCCAAACAUGUUGGAUCCACAUUCAGGGUAUUGAUCAAUGUAGAGCCACAAUUAAUGAAAGUUGAAGGUAAGACAGAAGUAACAUUCAACAUAUCGAUCACCUGUUCGCACACGAACACAUCACGGUGUACCUCCAACGCCGAGGGUGAUGCACCGCAACUCAGUCGAAGGAGACCCGUCCGGAAGCGCGGUACGCAAGCAAUCCGGCGGGCGCUUUUGUAGACCUGAAACCCCACAUACCCGGAAGGGACAACGUCAGGGCGUGCGGCGGCUAUGAGCUGCCCUAGGUCGGCCUGACCGCCCCUAGGGCCUCAAGGUUCGCCGCCCUACAAUGAAGAAGAACGAACGAAGAACAAAGAAGAACAAGAACAAGGAAGAGGAUAAAAGUAAAGGUAAAAAGUGGUAGAUGAUUUUGUCGAUUGUGUGUUGUUCAAUGGGCCGUCACCCCUUAGGUAUGUAAGAGGCGGCUGGACUUCCCAUGCAAGGAAAAUGCUUGGAUUCACGUCCAAAACCCUAGUCAAAUUCGGAUUGGUUUUGUCCGAACUUUCCAAAACUGUUCGAAACCGUCUGCACCUUACGGGUCCUUUUUGUGGUAGUAAACGACCUCGGAUGAAAACGAAACCAAAAGCAAUCUCGACCGUUUUGACGAGGCGAACAACUUUCAUGUUGAACGUUUUUUGAUCAGAGGUCAUCUUGAGGGUCAAAUCGCUCGCGCAAAACAGGCUAUUAUUCACGCUACCUCGCGCAAAACAGACUAUUAUUCGCACUACCCAUCAGACAGGGUGUCUGGUGGGGCGUGCCAUUUUCUACCUACUUACAGAGCUGCAUUCCGAUGACUCUAACUUUUGCAUACGAACUUGAAUUGGAACGAUUUUUAUAUCAAAAUUGAUCGUUUCGACGAGGCGAAGACAAUCCAUGUAGAUCAUUUUCCAUACGAGGCAGUUUUGAGGGCGUAAUGAGCCGAAUAGUGUUCUGUAUACAAAAUCUCAGUAUUUCGAACACAACUUCGGCCUUUGAGAUGAGAUCGGAUGGCGAUGACCCAAACUUCAAAGAUGUUAAUAUCAACAAUACGGAAAUCUUUGAUGUAGAUCACUUCUAUAUUUGAGGUCAUCUUAAAUAAGUUCUUGAUCGUGCCAAAAUCUGUUGUCAACACAUGCCCCCCUGUUUUUCGGCAAAACUUGCGUGCCAAAAAAUAAUUUGCAAUGUAUUUGUUCUAAGGACGAUGCCAACACUCCAUCGGCCAUUUAUAUUUCUCAGGGCGAUAAUUAUGUAUCGGCCAUGUUUAUGCUAAGGGCGAUAGUUAUUUAUCGGCCAUGUCUUUGCUUAGUCAUAUGUGGGUCGUUGCUUGUUUGAACCUCUUGAUGCAACUUGGGUGAAAACUUCUCAACUUAUAUAACAAUUCGAUGAUAAGGUUCCAUAGAUAUGUAUCUCAAAGCCAUCAUUCGAACCAUAUUAUUCACCCUUUCGCUAAGAUUUUGCAGAUAAUCAAGAAUGAACUUCCUCCAAUCCUUACUUUACCUGCAUAAAAGUUUCAUUAGUGGCCGAGGUGGUGAUCUCCAAUUCGGCCUUACCUAUGUUGGCAAGAAUAAGCAUCGGCCAUUGAUAGAUGUGCAAUACACCAUGACGGACAUGGUAGCCGGAUGCUUGCUAUGCCAGCUCUCUCCAAUUGUCAUGUCUAAAUAUAUGAACAAUUCUAAUGCAACCCGAGGUAAAUUUUGCAUCUAGACAUACCCCAAAAUAAACUAUAAGUGAUUCGUCAAAACAUUGAUAACCCUUGGGUAUUUGUUGCACUACUCAUAACGAAUCACCGAAAGCCUCAAUAUGUAUAGUACCUAUAGCAAGUAAAAGAGUCAAUCCGAAUAACAAUGCAUAUUCGGCCUUGAUUAAUCGUGCAUAAAAAUAUUCUAAGAGGCAUGAGGCUUCACAAAUAGUACCAUAAGGAGAUAUAUAAACAACACCAACACUUUGGCCAUUGCUACGAGUUGAACCGUCAAAACAUAAUCUCCAUAGUACUAGAGAGACAAGGAUAUAUAAUAUCAAUACUAUGCAUGUCAUUAAUCCGAUGUUCAAUAAUAAAAUCAGCUAUGGUUUGGCCUCUUAUAGAUCUCAAAGACGCAUAAGCCAAAUCAUAUCCAAACAAAGUAUAAGCCCCCAGCCAAUUCUAUAACUAUGAAUUGGUCUAUGCAUCAUGUAUUCAAUGACAUCAGUCAUGAUGUCUUAACUCCAUUCAAAUAUAAAUAUAAAUUUCCAUGAGCACGUACCUUAUCUCGCUCUCCAUUCGAACUAAGGAUGAUGUUAGAGUACUACACCGGCCAUGCAUUGACAUAAUCUUAGGACGAUAGAUAAAUAUCGGCCAUUACCAUGUAAACUUGAAAUCCAAGUCUAUUUUUGACCUUUCAUGAAGAAGUUUUGCCUGCGCGCAAACUACCUAGCCGGUUGACACUACUGAAAGAUAAAAGAAUGGUGGAUAGAUGGAUUCGCACCAUCCCAAAACCGAAAUACAGACAGACCACCUAAAAUAGUCGUACCGCUCCCCCUUUAGAGAUAGAUUUCUUUAUUCUCUAAGCUAGCUAAACGCCCGAAACAUAAUAAGCUAAGCCUCCGUCGAUUUAGCCAAAGCAGGCCUGGAGAAAAUAAUGUAAACAAAUAAAAUGACAAAUCAAGUAUUUCGGCCCUUUGGAUCAGCAACAAACUUGUAGCUAAUCAAAUGUAUAGUGAUUUGGCAAUACCCUUUCAUGAUGUAAGAAAUUAUAUUGCAUCCAUGAAUUAAAAUAAGCCCAUUGAGGGUAACCAAUCAUACCUGAUGACGAAUUCCAUGGCAUAGGUAUCAACGGCAUAAAAUAAGAUGCCAACACUCCAUCGGCCAUUUAUAUUUCUCAGGGCGAUAAUUAUGUAUCGGCCAUGUUUAUGCUAAGGGCGAUAGUUAUUUAUCGGCCAUGUCUUUGCUUAGUCAUAUGUGGGUCGUUGCUUGUUUGAACCUCUUGAUGCAACUUGGGUGAAAACUUCUCAACUUAUAUAACAAUUCGAUGAUAAGGUUCCAUAGAUAUGUAUCUCAAAGCCAUCAUUCGAACCAUAUUAUUCACCCUUUCGCUAAGAUUUUGCAGAUAAUCAAGAAUGAACUUCCUCCAAUCCUUACUUUACCUGCAUAAAAGUUUCAUUAGUGGCCGAGGUGGUGAUCUCCAAUUCGGCCUUACCUAUGUUGGCAAGAAUAAGCAUCGGCCAUUGAUAGAUGUGCAAUACACCAUGACGGACAUGGUAGCCGGAUGCUUGCUAUGCCAGCUCUCUCCAAUUGUCAUGUCUAAAUAUAUGAACAAUUCUAAUGCAACCCGAGGUAAAUUUUGCAUCUAGACAUACCCCAAAAUAAACUAUAAGUGAUUCGUCAAAACAUUGAUAACCCUUGGGUAUUUGUUGCACUACUCAUAACGAAUCACCGAAAGCCUCAAUAUGUAUAGUACCUAUAGCAAGUAAAAGAGUCAAUCCGAAUAACAAUGCAUAUUCGGCCUUGAUUAAUCGUGCAUAAAAAUAUUCUAAGAGGCAUGAGGCUUCACAAAUAGUACCAUAAGGAGAUAUAUAAACAACACCAACACUUUGGCCAUUGCUACGAGUUGAACCGUCAAAACAUAAUCUCCAUAGUACUAGAGAGACAAGGAUAUAUAAUAUCAAUACUAUGCAUGUCAUUAAUCCGAUGUUCAAUAAUAAAAUCAGCUAUGGUUUGGCCUCUUAUAGAUCUCAAAGACGCAUAAGCCAAAUCAUAUCCAAACAAAGUAUAAGCCCCCAGCCAAUUCUAUAACUAUGAAUUGGUCUAUGCAUCAUGUAUUCAAUGACAUCAGUCAUGAUGUCUUAACUCCAUUCAAAUAUAAAUAUAAAUUUCCAUGAGCACGUACCUUAUCUCGCUCUCCAUUCGAACUAAGGAUGAUGUUAGAGUACUACACCGGCCAUGCAUUGACAUAAUCUUAGGACGAUAGAUAAAUAUCGGCCAUUACCAUGUAAACUUGAAAUCCAAGUCUAUUUUUGACCUUUCAUGAAGAAGUUUUGCCUGCGCGCAAACUACCUAGCCGGUUGACACUACUGAAAGAUAAAAGAAUGGUGGAUAGAUGGAUUCGCACCAUCCCAAAACCGAAAUACAGACAGACCACCUAAAAUAGUCGUACCGCUCCCCCUUUAGAGAUAGAUUUCUUUAUUCUCUAAGCUAGCUAAACGCCCGAAACAUAAUAAGCUAAGCCUCCGUCGAUUUAGCCAAAGCAGGCCUGGAGAAAAUAAUGUAAACAAAUAAAAUGACAAAUCAAGUAUUUCGGCCCUUUGGAUCAGCAACAAACUUGUAGCUAAUCAAAUGUAUAGUGAUUUGGCAAUACCCUUUCAUGAUGUAAGAAAUUAUAUUGCAUCCAUGAAUUAAAAUAAGCCCAUUGAGGGUAACCAAUCAUACCUGAUGACGAAUUCCAUGGCAUAGGUAUCAACGGCAUAGUUGAAGAAUAUGGAUAAUGUGUGGACCGAAGAUGUUGAAACCUUCGGCUUGGUCCUUCAUAGUUUUCACUCUUUUCCUUCUUCAUCUUUGCCGCACGUUGUGUAAUGGAUUCUUUCACAUAAUUCUUAUUUUGAGUACUUCCUUUAGGAACCCAUGCCAUGUUUCUUUCUUCAAGUUCUUGUGCACUAAGUUUUUGUAAUUUCUUCUUUUGCCAAUAUGAUAAGCCGAGUGAGCACCCCAGCUGUGAUUUUGUUUGAAGUAAUGGCAAUUCUUCUUUUACCUUGCCCACUCUCAACUUCUUCUCUUUAGAUUUGACACUUGAUUGACUUGCCUCAUUGCCUUUAGUAGCCAAUGUCAACACUUUAAUUGGCUCUUUGUUAUCUGAGAUCAAAUCUGAAGUAGCACACUUACGACCAUCUCUUUUCACGCGGUAAACUUGCUUGACCACCUCUUUCUUCUUCCAUGAGCUUUGGACCGAUUCCUUAUGAUUGAAACGGUCUUUGACGUGUGAUUUUUCAAAUGUUGAUCUUCUUGGAGCUGCAUAGUAUUGGUGAGAUGGUCUAAAAUAAGAUGGAGAAUGUGCCCUUGUAUCAUACUUGUCCCAUGAUGGAUAUGGAUUUACAUGAGCAUAAGGAGGCAUCCACGGCAUUGGCAUUGGCAUCCCAAAAUAAGGAUAUGAAUAUGUUGCGUUAAAAUUCUCAGUUUGCCAAUACCAAUCCUCAUAUUUGCGCUUUGGGGGUGAUCUUGGUUUCUUUGCAUGAUUUGGCCGAUAAGUAUCCUUCCCUUCACUCUUCUUUUGAUAUUUAUCCAAUAGUUCAGCGAAGGUGAUUUUUGAUCUCUUACACUUGCGCUUAUUUCGGCCUUUGUUUUCUUCUGGUUUGCUUUCGUCAAUCAUUGGAUAUGCUUGCUGCCCCCCUGUCCUUGGCGUCUCCAUUGUAGCUUCGAUGGAAUUCUCGCCCUCAAGAUUAUGUUCAUUAUGCUCUUCAACAACUUCUUUACUUGAAAGCUUGAUCCCAUCGCCUGCAGUUUUUACCUUCUCUUUAAAUAGAUCGGCUUGAAGCAGCCGAUGCAAAAACUUUUUGCCAUCGGGACCAAUCGGAAUAGACUGGUCAUCUCUUGGUGUUUCAACAAACUUCAAUCGUCCUUUUUCAAUAGCCGAUUUAACUAUUUGACGAAACAUGUUGCAAUCCUCAAAAUUAUGCUUGGACGAAUCAUGCAACUUACAAUACAUUCGUCCUUGCAUUGAUGGCUUAACAUGGUGAUCAAGAAUUGUAAUGUAAUUAUUUUUCAGCAACAAAUCAAAUAUUUGAUCACACAUGCUUGAAUUGAAGGUAUACUUCUUGUUUUCUAGCCGAUCUUGCUGUGUGAACGGCUUUGGAGAUAAGCAAACGAAUGGUUCAGAUUUGGAAUCUCCCCAUUCGGCUAUGCAUUGUGUUUUCCACUCUAUCUCCGAUGUCUUUGGAUAAGAUAUUAUAUUAGCAUCGAUUUUCUCAAUAGAAUUUAACAUUGCCUUUAAAUUUCUGAAAUGAAGAUAUUUAGAACAUACAUGUCUCAGUUGAGACCAAGUGCAAGCCAAGUACGAAAUAAGAAAAGCUACCCAACUAGAUAUGAACUUUAGAUAAAGCAACGGGGAAAGCUUUGGCUGUAACAAUAAGUCAUUAUCGGUCUUUAUAAAUGGCGCAAUGGGUUGACCGAUAUGUUCCAUAACAAUUUUAUUGCUAACAAGUAAAUUACCCUUCUUCAUUGGUCUUUCGAAAUUACUUAUGAGAAUAUUUCUUAUAUAUGCAUCAAUAAUGAAGUUGCGACCAAAUCUGAAAAUAGGUAAAUUACUCGCUAUGCAUACCUCUUCAAAUACGUUGGGAGAGCAUGAUGGUGGUGUGACUUGAACAAUAUCUAGCUUCGUCUUUGGAUGACUCUCCAAUGCCUUUUCAUCAUCAUUUUCUUUAUUCUGUGCAUCAUUACCUUGAAGAUCCUUAUCAGCCGAACUUUGUUUGGCUACUUGCUCUUGUCCUUGAGGCUUGUCAAUUUCUACGGCACGGAGCUCAUAGGGCAGGAAGUAGGUUCCAUUAACUUCAGAAAAAUCAAGCAUGGUUGUUUUGCUAUGCUUGCCAUGCCCUUUCUCAAUAAUGCUUGCCUCUUUGGAUUUGAUGGAUUCAGAAUAUAUAUACUACUUGAUUCGGCUUUUUCAACCGAAGCACUUUCAAGUUCCGAAUCAUUCUUCUUUUCAUUGAUACUACCAAUUGGCAAUGCUUCUUUUAUCUGAGCCAAUUCUUUUUCUAUUUGUUUCUGGCAGCGAGCGGCAAAGUUGGCUUUAAGCUUUUUCUCAAUUUCAGCCCACUCCGGAUAUGAUUGCCCCUCAAUGCUUUUAGAUUCUUUCGAAAAUGACACAUGGGUGUUGCCAAAAUUUUGCAAUAGUGUAGGGGUGUAUAAUAUGAUGUAGUACUAGGUGAAGGCAUAUGCAUUGUUGUAAAACCAUAUUUUUGCUCGCCGAUUUUAUCAAUUGGCAAAGAUUCAUCUUCUUGCAAAACUCUAGCUUUUAUUGCGGCCUAAUCAGGAAAUAACCCCUUUUCAUGUUGUUCAAGGCAAAGAGCACUAAUCCUCUUAUUUUUGGGCUAAACUCUUCAAUGAAGCCACUACUACCUCAUCUUCUACAAUAUUGGGCACAACCGCUCCUGUAAAUUUACAUUUAUUCGGCUAUGACCAGGAAGGUCGGAAGCCGAAUUAUGAACAUCUACAGUUGUGUAUGAUGCUGAAAAAUUAUUGUCAUUAGGUGUAGCAUAUGAUGGUUGAGAGUAACUGACUGAAUAGCUAGUAGUAGUAUGGCCAAUUCUCUCGUUCAUCGGUAUGGUUGGAUUAGUAUAUUGCACAUUACUUGCCGAUGAAUAAAAGGGUGAAACACUUUCUUGCAUGGCAUUGGAAAUUCUAACAUGAGGUGUUUCAAAUUUAUUAACCAAACUCACCAUGUUGUUCAUCGGCAUAACGAUUUGUGUGGUUGCCAAUGCAUGAGAGUUGGGAUACAUAUGGUGCAUGUUACUAGUAUCAUAAGAAGUUGAAGCAUGUAAAUUACUUUGAAUCGGCCUAUGCACAUAAUUAGAUGCAUGAUUGAACAAACUAGGGCUGGCCGAUAGAGUAUACUCAUUGAACGAUCUAGUAACACCAUAUGAAUUAUUUGCAUCUAUAAUAGGGAAUUGGGUAUUCAUAUUACCUUUGUAGAUUGCAAAACCUAGAUAACGAUCUCUUCGUAGCAAGAACGGGCUGGAGACCGUUCAAAGCUUCAUCCUCAGGGGAGUCGCCAAAAAGUGUGUUCACACACACGAACACGUCACCGGGUACCCUCGACGCCGGGGGUGAUGCACCGCAGCUCACGACGAAGGAGACCCGUCCGAAAGCGCGGUACGCAAGCAAUCCGGCGGGCGCUUUUGUACACCCGAGACCCCACACGCCCGGGAGGGACCCCACCAGGGCGCGCGGCGGCUAUGGGCUACCCUAGGUCGGCCUGGCCGCCCUAGGGCCUCGAGGUUCGCCGCCCUACAAUGAAGAAGAACGAACGAAUAACGAGGAAGAAGAAGAACAAGGAAGAGGAUAAAAGUAAAGGUAAAAAGUGGUAGAUGGUUUUGUCGCUUGUGUGUUGUUCAAUCGGCCGUCACCCCUUAGGUAUAUAAGAGGUGGCUGGACUUCCCGUACAAGGAAAAGGCUUGGAUUCACGUCCAAAACCCUAGUCAAAUUCGGAUUGGUUUUGUCCGAACUUUUCAAAACUGUUCGGCUUAAAAUUGCUGCACCUUGCGAGUCCUUUUUGUGGUAGUAAACGACCUCGGAUGAAAACGAAUCCAAAAGAAUGUUUCGACGAGGCGAACAACUUUCAUGUUGAAUGUUUUUUGAUUAGAGGUCAUCUUGAGGGUCAAGUCGCUCGCACAAAACAGGCUAUUAUUCGCGCUACCUCGCGUAAAACAGGCUAUUAUUCGCGCUACCCAUCAUACAAGGUAUCUGGUGGGACGCGCCAUUUUCUGCCUCCUGACAAAGCUGCUCUAACUUUUGCAUACGAACUUGGAUUGGAACGAUUUUUAUAUCAAAAUUGAUCGUUUCGACGGGACGAGGACAAUUCAUUUUUCCGACGGGACGAGGACAAUUCAUUUUUCCAUACGUGGCAGUCUUAGAGCAUUUUUCCAUAAGUGGCAGUCUUGGAGGCGUAAUGAGCCAAAUAGUGUUUCGAAUACAACUUCGGCCUUUGAGAUAAGAUCAGGUGGCGAUGACCCAAACUUCAAAGAUGUUCAAAUCAACAAUACAGAACUCUUUGAUGUAGGUCACUUCUCCAUUUAAGGUCAUCUUAAAUAAGUUCUUGACCGUGUCAAAAUCUGAUAAACACUAUAUUUCUUCAUAAUCUGUGCACAGUUUCUGUAGAAAAGGACAGGCCGUGACCAAGUUUUCAGUGGUGACCAGUUCCCGCUUGCCAUUUUCAGAUACCCCAAUGAAUUUUUCUUUCAGAACAAUGUAUCUUUCCAGCUGCUUGAGAAAAUGAAAAGAGCGGGAAAGCCAUUUUUCUCUUGAUCCUGCCCAUCCGAACUGGAAGCAAAAAAGGUCAAAUUUUGUUUAUUUCUCACUUAUUCAUCACCAAAUCUGUAGGUGAUUACUCAAGUACAUAAACGACUGGCAAAAGAAACACAAUACAUAGUUGUCUCGCCAGACUCGAUCGGCAAGAACAAGACACACUGUAGCAUACACGUCAAUCAAACUGGCUCCAAUGCUCAGCCGGAUAUCUCGAUGGCCUUCACCUCGGGCUUCUUGACGUGGGCCUUUGGCACGGUGACGGUGAGCACGCCGUUCUCCAGCCCGGCCUUCACCUCCUCCACCUUGGCGUCCUCCGGCAGCCGGAAGCGCCUCGCGAACUUGCCGCUGCUGCGCUCCACGCGGUGCCACUUGUCGUUCUUGUCCUCCUUCUCCCUGCUCCGCUCGCCGCUGACGACGAGCACGUUGCCGUCCUCCACCUCCACCUUGACCUCCUCCUUCUUCACGCCGGGGAGGUCGGCCUUGAAGACGUGCGCCUCGGGGGUCUCCUUCCAGUCCACGCGAGCACUGGCGAACGCGGCCGUCUCGCUGCUGCUGCCGCCUGAGAUCGCCGGGACGAUGGAGCGGAAGGCGUCGAAGGGGUCCGCCCAGAGGUCGGCGAAGGGGUCGAACACGUUGCUCCGCCGCACGAUCGACAUCGUCGGUGUUGAUUGCUUCGGCUUGUGCGCUCGGAAAAUUCUGUGGAUCGUAGGUAGGAAUAGGAUGCUGUCUGCUUUUGCUUGAAACUGAUCUGAGUUAGGAUGGAGGGCGACGGGAGGCGAGGUACUUAUAGCGUCGCAGGUGCUGCUCUUGAAGCAUCUCGAGCACUCUGCAAUU
Molecule: long non-coding RNA, 26744 nt
Filed under: Triticum aestivum (bread wheat)
Lineage: Eukaryota; Viridiplantae; Streptophyta; Magnoliopsida; Poales; Poaceae
Description: long non-coding RNA (TAES_LNC028409)
Source: RNAcentral